This 6354-nucleotide long non-coding RNA is filed under the name Musa acuminata (dwarf banana). Its description in RNAcentral is "long non-coding RNA (MACU_LNC002762)". Lineage: Eukaryota; Viridiplantae; Streptophyta; Magnoliopsida; Zingiberales; Musaceae. The record is from RNAcentral.
UUUCGUGACAGCAAACAACAAGACCGUAGCACUGUUCGACGAGUGGUAUGGGUGGAGGAACAACUCGAAAGGCAUGAAAGAUCAAGAUGUGCUGCAGAAGAUGAAGAAGGAGGGAGCGUUCACGCGGCUGGGGCUGAAAGUGAGGUACCUGGAGACUACCUAUUUUAGUGGGUUCUGUCAAAUGAGUCAGGACUUGAGGAAAGUGAUUACGGUUCAUGCGAACUGUUGUGUCAGCAUGAAAGUUAAGCUCAUAGACCUGAGAUGUGUGCUUGAAGCUUGGAAGGUUAGCAACACGAAUGGCACAUCAAAUGCUACUACGACUGCAUGGCCUCCGGUCAAGGGAAUCUGCUUGCACGACACUGCCACCAAGCAGCACACUGCCACAAAGCACUGAAGUGAACAGGGUAAGAUGACCAAGGUUUCUGUGCAUUCAUAACUCGAGAGAGAGACUUGUCGAUCCAUGUAUCACUUAUGUGUUCCAUACAAUUAUAAAUGCUCCCCGUACCAGUUUAAAGCAAAGGUGCAGGAUGACAUUUUUAGCCUAUACUUAGCACCGACGAGCAAUAAAGAGAGAAAAAAUAAAAAGGAAGAGAAAAAAUAAUAAUUAAAAAUUAAGAAGAAGAAAAAAAAAAGGAUAAUUGUCAUUCUCAUUCUUAACUCGAGAAUACUCCUAUAAUGUAGUUUGAUGCUUCCGUACAUCCUGUGAUCGAUGAAACUAUUCUAUCGAAAAGCAGUUUAUAUUAAAAUAACUCAAUUCAUUGAUCUUCUUCUCAUCGAUCAAUGCACCCUCUAUUUGUAGGUCCAAAUAUAAAAUAAUAAAUUGUAAACAGAUAAGUGUUUACAAAAGUUUUAAUCAGAAUUUAUAAUCUUCAAUCAUAAUCAUUCGUAAUCAUAAUUUGAUUUAUUAUAUUUUUAAUAUUUUUUUAUUUCUUGAGUAAAUUAUGAAAGUAGGUUAGAAUUAUUCACACCUAUGUAAAAUAAUAUUUAAAUUAAUCAAAUAUAUUUAAAUAAAUGAUAGACUAAAUUGAGAUAUCAUUUCCUUUCGUAAAUUAGAGUAUUAUUAAGAUCUUAAACGGGACUUAAGAAUGGGAGACCCGCGAGUAACUCGUGUACAGCAUUAUAAAGACCAACUUGACCACAUACAAUAAACCAAAAUGAAAUUAUUCGUAAGACCUUGGAGGGACCUCGGAAAAAUGAGGCACCCAUGAACAGCUCAUGUACGUCAUGAUAAAGACCCACCUGACCACAUUCAUCAAAUGCCAAACUCAUGCACUUAAAAGAUGAACGAGAAGUUGGGAAAGAGAGACUAUUGGUAGCUAUAGUGCAAAUUGAACUUAAAUUUCAUGUUGCUCGAGUUCUCAUAUAUUCGUUCCUAAAGUUUCGUUCUUGUGUUUGCCAGCCGGCAAACUCCAGCAAGUUGUGGCAGAAAACUGAAAACUCCAAGGCAGAGAUGAAAUGUUUUGUAUAGAAUGCUUAAAUAAAUAUUAUUUUUUACAUCAAAUUUGGGAUCGAAUUUUUAUUAAGUGAGGAGCAAUAUAAUUAUACAUGAUCUUUUUCUCCCUUAAUAUAAAUUAAUUAUCAUAAAUAUAUAUUAUUUCAAUUAAAUUAUUAACUUUCUUGUUUGUAUAACAUGAUUAAGGAAAUAAAUUAGUAAUUUUAUCACAUGGAUAAAUUAGUAAUUUUAUCCAUGGAUAAAUUAGUAAUUUUAUCAAUUAAUUAAAUUAUUAAUUAAUUUUAUUUUUAAUGAGUGAUGUACUUUUUGAAAAUAAAUAAUUUAAAUUUAAAUAUUAUAAUUCUAUCUUUGUGUUUAAAAAUAAAUUAAAAUUAAAAAUUAAAUUAUUACUUAUCUUUUUUGAAAAAAAUAAGUCAAGCAUGACCCAGUUUAAUAAUAAGACUCAGCAUAAUUUGUGAGUGAGACUCAAUCUAUCAUAUGAAAUUAGGCCCAUCCAACUAUGUGACCAGCCUAAAUAUGUCAUUGUCUAUUUAUUCAAUCCAUUAUACCUCAACCUAAUUUCAGAUAGACAUAUAUGGUGCACGUGACUUAUCCAAGACUUAGAUGAAUUGAUUCGAUCUAGGAUAGCAUGAUGCGAUAUAUUUCAAUUUCCUAAUUUGAGCUCGUUAAUUGAUUGAAUUAGUGUUUGAUUGGCUCAAGUCAGUUCGAGGUUCUUCUAGACUAACUUGAUAAGUUUUAACCAACUUGACCUAAUUGAAAUCAAUUAAAUCUAAAAUAGAUCGGUGAUUUCAAACUAAUUUUAUAAUGAUUUAAGGUUGAUUCUUUUAGGUCCUAAGUGAAUUGAGUUUAGUUUAGGUCAAUUAGGCUAUUCUAAUUAGAGUUCUAUUUGAUUGAAGAUGAGGGAUUGAUGCCUCUUAUUUUUAUAAUUUAAUAAAUUUAAAAAUUAUAUCUAAAGGUGUCAUUUGAAAAUAAUUAUUAGUUUUUUAAAUUAAAUUGAUAAUAUUAAUAUGAUUAUUACCAUAUAGUAUAACUAUGUUGAGUGGUCUACGUUGGAAGUAUAACAUAUGAAAGGAGUUAUAUGUUAUUACAAUAUAAAGCCACCGGUCUAGUAGAUCAUAUAUUAAACAUAGUUUCUCAUAAUAUUUUAUCAUAUUAUUUAGAAGCAAGUAUGAAUAAAUAGAUGAAUAUAAAUGAAUGAUUAUGGUUGACUAUGUAUCUCUAUCGAGGGUAGGUAAGAUGAUUCCAUUAAAGGAUUAAUAACCUCUUAAACGUGAUGGUUAAAUGAUUUAUGUAUCUAUUAUUAGGAAGAACGUGUUCUUACUUGUUUGGGUGAUUAAUACGACUUUAUCUACUAUUGGGAGUGCAAUAGGAGUUUUCUUCAUUCGUUGUUGGGAUGAAUCCAUUUUAUAAAAUAUAUCUUUUCAUCUGUUGGGAGAGUAUAUCAUCUGGUAUAAUAUACACAUUUAUUAUCUCAUUGUUAUGUACGCAUAUAUACAAAUGUUAUAUAUGAUUGAUGCAUAAUUUUGUUUAUUAUAUAAAAAUUAUUAUUUUACUGAUAUAUAUGUUUCAUAAUAAAUUAAUAGUUUAUCAUGUUGUAUUAGAUUAUUGAUAUUUAUAUAUGUAUCAUGAAUAUUAAAAUUAUUUUUAUGAUUUUUUAGAAGUUACAAUCAAUAUAUAUGGCUAUUUAUAUGGUUUUAUUCUAUAUUUUUUUAAGUAAUCUACUAUUUUAUAAUAGAUAUGAGGUUUGGAUGGAAAUUUUUUUUAAUCACUCGUGACCCCAAAAAAUAUUUAAUAUUAUAAAUACAUUAAUUUAAUUUUUUUAAAAAAAUCUUCUGUAAAUAAUGAAUAAUAAAAUAAUAUUUUUUUUAAUUUAGGAUAUAACAUAAAAAGAUCAACAACAAGAAGUUGACAAUGAGAGACUUUAUCGGUAAAGAUGAAAGAAUACCAUAAGCUAUAGUGCACCUUAAUAUUAAGUCUGUAUGCUCUCGAUAUAGAUAUGUUAAUCACUUAAUAAGUUUUUUAGCUUAUAUUAUUAUUAUAUAAAAUUUUUAAGUUAGCUUGUCACUUAUUGAAAUAUUUGAAUUGAACUGAGACAGUGAAAAAUUAUUCAAAUUUUAGAUAUAUCUUAUUAAUUGGCACAUUAUAAUUGUUGUAUAAGUAUGUUUUGCAUGUAGUGAAAUAGAAGUAGAUGCUUGAAAAGAAGUAGACAUCUAAUUAGAGUGAAUAAGAUUAGCUAUCGAAGGCCACUCCGGUUGUGUAUGAAAUCCUGGUAGUAAUUAUGAUCUUACACUAUAAUAUUUGUCUUAUGUUAAAUAUCAAGUUGUAACUAUGACUCAUGCUCCACUAUAUAACACAGGAAGUACAGGAAUCUGACUUAUAGGUUAGGUUUGAUUCAAAUCUUAUGCUUGUAGAUUGAGUACAUUAAUUUUAAGAUUUUAGGUUAGGAUGGUAAAUGCACAUAAGUAUUUAUGUUAUUGAUUUUGAGACUCGAAGGGAAUAGUCUUAUGGUUAUAGAUCAUCACUGCAUUAAGAUUUAGAUUUCCACAUAUAAUAUUGUUAUCGUAUUUGAAGGUACUAACUAAUUUAAUGAAUAAAGAAAUUAAUAGUCUAAUGGUUGUACUUUUUGGGUUUGAAUCUUAUCUUUAGAUUUCACCAGUUACUCUUCAAUCUACUUGGUUCAAUAUUAGAACUGUAAAGACUAAAUAUGUAAUGGAAAGUAAAAUGAAAACUAACACAAAAAAAUAAAAAUGAAGAAAGAAAAAAAUAAAAAGAAAGAUUUGUCCAAAGAGCAAGAAAAGGAAACAUAGAGAGAACUUUGGAGUCUUUUCUUCAUUCUUACUCGAAGGUGAUCGAUAAUAGACUUCUAUGGUCAGCUAGAUAAAGAAACCCAGCUUGGACCAAAUAUGGAAGAGAGGGAGCAAAUAUUAUUUCAAAGAGUUGAAACUUAGAUCUCAUUUGAAAGAAAGCAAAAAUUUCAAGAGUUGAAUCGAUAUCACGAAAAUAAUAAUAAAAUUGUAAGUCAUAACUCUUUAAAAUCUCUCAUCAAACAUAUUAAAAAUUUAUAAUAAAAAAUAAAAAUUAUAAUAUAUAUAUAUAUAUAUAUAUACAUAUAUAUACAUAUAUGUAUGAAUACAUGUAUAUAUAUUUAUAUAUUUAUAUAUAUCACUAAAGCCUAUCCGAGAUGGCUGUCGAAGACGUCAUGUAGACAGUAAAUAUUGCAAAGCAGUAGAAAUGGUAACGAUCAAGGCACUAAAAAAUCCACCAACUCCCAACCCAUUCAUUCUUCCAAUAGCCAAUGAUCGCUUAUGUCAUUGCAGUCUGUCCAACACACGAAAACUAGGUUCCAAGGGAGAAGACAAGAAAGUCUUCCACAAAAGAAAAAACAGGGAAUGCUUAUGUGAUACCAACAGUUCUUAAGCAUUCGUCGAUCUGUCCGCCCCCAGUUUUUGGAUCGUCAAAUGCGUCAGAUCUCGAUGGAAAGAAACCGAAGGAGGCACGUCACCUUUGUGGUCUGUGUCUGGAAUUACUGCCUUUCGCGAUCACCGGCGCCAACUUAUACCUAAACAAUUGAAUGAAAGGACUCGGUGGUCGUUACAGCUUCUUAUCCAUGUGCCGCGUGUCGAUGUAGGAGGAGUCUGAGCUGCUGAUCUUUACAGAUCAGAGUGGAGUUCUCGGAUCUCCCCUGCACCUCGAUCAUUGCCAUGAGCUUCUCCGGUGCCAUCGCCUACCGUGCCACCGCGUCCAUCGUCGUCGCCCCUCUUCUCGUUUUGGUCGUCAUCUAUGCCUGCUUAUGGCCGCUUGGAGUACCCACAGCUUUCUUCCGCUUGCAACAUGGUGCAAAUACUGUAAGUUAAUCCACACAGAGUAUAUGUUGAACAGUACGCACAGAGAGCUCAGAAACUAGCUUGUAUUUUGCGUGUGGUCAGACGGAGAUUACCCCAAAAGAUGAACUGGAAGCAGCACUAGAGGGGGUCGCCAUGGAGAACAGGACUUUGAUCAUCGCGAUACUGAACAAGGCGUACGUGGAGCAGAACGCGAUGCUGGAUCUGUUCUUGCAAAGUCUUGGAGAAGGGGAGGACACAGAAUCCUUGAUCGACCACCUUCUUUUCGUCACCGUCGACCAGAGGGCCUUCAACAGAUGCCGCACCCUGGAGCUUCACUGUUACAAUCUCGUAACCGAGGGCGUCGACUUCUCCAAGGAGGUCUUCUACAUGUCUGAUGCAUUCAACAACAUGAUGUGGCGAAGAACUCUCUUCCUAGGAGAUGUCCUCCGGCGCGGAUACAACUUCAUCUUCACCGUAAGUCAUAGUAAACCAUCCUAGUGAUCGUAUGUUACUGCGACAUUUCUUAUGUUGUCCUUGCUAUCAGGAUAUGGAUGUCAUGUGGCUACGGAAUCCGUUCUCACAGUUGUCUCGUGAUGGAGAGGACCUUCAGAUGAGCAGUGACUUCUACUACGGCAAACCAUUCAAUAACUCCAACUUCAACACCGGUUUCUAUUUCGUGACAGCAAACAAGAAGACCGUAGCACUGUUCGACGAGUGGUAUGCGUGGAGGAACAACUCGAAAGGCAUGAAAGAACAAGAUGUGCUGCAGAAGAUGAAGAAGGAGGGAGCGUUCACGCGGCUGGGGCUGAAAGUGAGGUACCUGGAGACUACCUAUUUUAGUGGGUUCUGUCAAAUGAGUCGGGACUUGAGGAAAGUGAUUACGGUUCAUGCGAACUGUUGUGUCAGCAUGAAAGUUAAGCUCAUAGACCUGAGAUCUGUGCUUGAAGCUUGGAAGGUUAGCAACUCGAAUGGCACAUCAAAUGCUACUACGACUGCAUGGCCUCCGGUCAAGGGAAUCUGCUUGCACGACACUGCCACCAAGCAGCACACUGCCACAAAGCACUGAAGUGAACAAGG